Molecule: ribosomal RNA, 1360 nt
Filed under: uncultured bacterium
Lineage: Bacteria
Description: bacterial SSU rRNA
Rfam family: Bacterial small subunit ribosomal RNA
Source: RNAcentral
AUUGAACGCUGGCGGCAGGCCUAACACAUGCAAGUCGAACGGUAGCACAGAGAGCUUGCUCUCGGGUGACGAGUGGCGGACGGGUGAGUAAUGUCUGGGAAACUGCCCGAUGGAGGGGGAUAACUACUGGAAACGGUAGCUAAUACCGCAUAACGUCGCAAGACCAAAGAGGGGGACCUUCGGGCCUCUUGCCAUCGGAUGUGCCCAGAUGGGAUUAGCUUGUAGGUGAGGUAACGGCUCACCUAGGCGACGAUCCCUAGCUGGUCUGAGAGGAUGACCAGCCACACUGGAACUGAGACACGGUCCAGACUCCUACGGGAGGCAGCAGUGGGGAAUAUUGCACAAUGGGCGCAAGCCUGAUGCAGCCAUGCCGCGUGUAUGAAGAAGGCCUUCGGGUUGUAAAGUACUUUCAGCGGGGAGGAAGGGAGUGAGGUUAAUAACCUUAUUCAUUGACGUUACCCGCAGAAGAAGAACCGGCUAACUCCGUGCCAGCAGCCGCGGUAAUACGGAGGGUGCAAGCCGUAAUCUGAAUUACUGGGCGUAAAGCGCACGCAGGCGGUCUGUCAGUCGGAUGUGAAAUCCCCGGGCUCAACCUGGGAACUGCAUUCGAAACUGGCAGGCUGGAGUCUUGUAGAGGGGGGUAGAAUUCCAGGUGUAGCGGUGAAAUGCGUAGAGAUCUGGAGGAAUACCGGUGGCGAAGGCGGCCCCCUGGACAAAGACUGACGCUCAGGUGCGAAAGCGUGGGGAGCAAACAGGAUUAGAUACCCUGGUAGUCCACGCUGUAAACGAUGUCGACUUGGAGGUUGUUCCCUUGAGGAGUGGCUUCCGGAGCUAACGCGUUAAGUCGACCGCCUGGGGAGUACGGCCGCAAGGUUAAAACUCAAAUGAAUUGACGGGGGCCCGCACAAGCGGUGGAGCAUGUGGUUUAAUUCGAUGCAACGCGAAGAACCUUACCUACUCUUGACAUCCACGGAAUUUGGCAGAGAUGCCUUAGUGCCUUCGGGAACCGUGAGACAGGUGCUGCAUGGCUGUCGUCAGCUCGUGUUGUGAAAUGUUGGGUUAAGUCCCGCAACGAGCGCAACCCUUAUCCUUUGUUGCCAGCGAUUCGGUCGGGAACUCAAAGGAGACUGCCAGUGAUAAACUGGAGGAAGGUGGGGAUGACGUCAAGUCAUCAUGGCCCUUACGAGUAGGGCUACACACGUGCUACAAUGGCAUAUACAAAGAGAAGCGACCUCGCGAGAGCAAGCGGACCUCAUAAAGUAUGUCGUAGUCCGGAUUGGAGUCUGCAACUCGACUCCAUGAAGUCGGAAUCGCUAGUAAUCGUGGAUCAGAAUGCCACGGUGAAUACGUUCCCGGGCCU